UACGGGAGGCAGCAGUGAGGAAUAUUGGUCAAUGGGCGAGAGCCUGAACCAGCCAAGUAGCGUGCAGGACGACGGCCCUAUGGGUUGUAAACUGCUUUUAUGCGGGGAUAAAGUUCACUACGUGUAGUGUUUUGUAGGUACCGCAUGAAUAAGGAACGGCUAAUUCCGUGCCAGCAGCCGCGGUAAU
RNAcentral lists this ribosomal RNA (187 nucleotides) under uncultured rumen bacterium. Its description in RNAcentral is "partial 16S ribosomal RNA". It matches the Rfam family "Bacterial small subunit ribosomal RNA", at positions 340 to 524 of the family's 1533-position model. The record is from RNAcentral.